UUCACGUCGACCCCACUGAGGGAAAAAGAGAGUUCACGUCGACCCACUGAGGGAAAAAGAGAGUUCACGUCGACCCACUGAGGGAAAAAGAGAGUUCACGUCGACCCCACUGAGGGAAAAAGAGAGUUCACGUCGACCCCACUGAGGGAAAAAGAGAGUUCACGUCGACCCCACUGAGGGAAAAAGAGAGUUCACGUCGACCCCACUGAGGGAAAAAGAGAGUUCACGUCGACCCCACUGAGGGAAAAAGAGAGUUCACGUCGACCCCACUGAGGGAAAAAGAGAGUUCACGUCGACCCACUGAGGCAAAAAAAGGACAAUGUCAGAGUUCAUUUCAAUAAGAGAAAAGCUGCGAAAUGGAGAGUUCAAAAUAAAGAGAAGGGAGGACCAGGACAGUCAGGUUUAGAGAAGGGAGCACCAGGACAGUCAGGUUUAGAGACGGGACAGUCAGGUUUGGAGAAGGGAGGACCAGAACAGUCAGGUUUAGAGAAGGGAGGACCAGGACAGUCAGGUUUGGAGAAGGGAGGACCAGGACAGUCAGGUUUAGAGACAGGACAGUCAGGUUUGGAGAAGGGAGGACCAGAACAGUCAGGUUUAGAGAAGGGAGGACCAGAACAGUCAGGUUUAGAGAAGGGAGGACCAGAACAGUCAUGUUUAGAGACAGGACAGUCAGGUUUAGAGACGGGACAGUCAGGUUUGGAGAAGGGAGGACCAGAACAGUCAGGUUUAGAGAAGGGAGGACCAGAACAGUCAGGUUUAGAGACAGGACAGUCAGGUUUAGAGACGGGACAGUCAGGUUUGGAGAAGGUAGGACCAGAACAGUCAGGUUUAGAGAAGGGAGGACCAGAACAGUCAGGUUUAGAGAAGGGAGGAC
Long non-coding RNA from Oncorhynchus keta (chum salmon), 874 nucleotides. RefSeq lists it as uncharacterized. The transcript has 4 exons. Lineage: Eukaryota; Metazoa; Chordata; Actinopteri; Salmoniformes; Salmonidae. The record is from RefSeq and is a predicted model, not a curated record.